GCCCCCAUAGCCCAAUCGGCAGAGGCGGCCGCCUUAAAAGCGGCACAGUGCGGGUUCGAGUCCCGCUGGGGGCACCG
Molecule: transfer RNA, 77 nt
Filed under: Brachybacterium paraconglomeratum
Lineage: Bacteria; Bacillati; Actinomycetota; Actinomycetes; Micrococcales; Dermabacteraceae
Also listed under: 2 other names
Description: tRNA-Leu
Rfam family: tRNA
About the family: Transfer RNA (tRNA) molecules are approximately 80 nucleotides in length. Their secondary structure includes four short double-helical elements and three loops (D, anti-codon, and T loops). Further hydrogen bonds mediate the characteristic L-shaped molecular structure. tRNAs have two regions of fundamental functional importance: the anti-codon, which is responsible for specific mRNA codon recognition, and the 3' end, to which the tRNAs corresponding amino acid is attached (by aminoacyl-tRNA synthetases). tRNAs cope with the degeneracy of the genetic code in two manners: having more than one tRNA (with a specific anti-codon) for a particular amino acid; and 'wobble' base-pairing, i.e. permitting non-standard base-pairing at the 3rd anti-codon position.
Source: RNAcentral